AGUCUAUGAUGUGCGCAGAGCCUUAACAUAUCCUUAUAUCUCUUCCAUCAUUCAAAAAGAGAUUCAUUGUCUUUUUGCCUAAAUCUGUUGAUCUGGCUUCUUAGCAU
This is a small nucleolar RNA of Lathyrus oleraceus (garden pea), 107 nucleotides long. Lineage: Eukaryota; Viridiplantae; Streptophyta; Magnoliopsida; Fabales; Fabaceae. The record is from RefSeq and is a predicted model, not a curated record.